AGAGUUUGAUCCUGGCUCAGAUUGAACGCUGGCGGCAGGCCUAACACGUGCAAGUCGAACGGUAACAGGAAGAAGCUUGCUUCUUUGCUGACGAGUGGCGGACGGGUGAGUAAUGUCUGGGAAACUGCCUGAUGGAGGGGGAUAACUACUGGAAACGGUAGCUAAUACCGCAUAACGUCGCAAGACCAAAGAGGGGGACCUUCGGGCCUCUUGCCAUCGGAUGUGCCCAGAUGGGAUUAGCUAGUAGGUGGGGUAAAGGCUCACCUAGGCGACGAUCCCUAGCUGGUCUGAGAGGAUGACCAGACACACUGGAACUGAGACACGGUCCAGACUCCUACGGGAGGCAGCAGUGGGGAAUAUUGCACAAUGGGCGCAAGCCUGAUGCAGCCAUGCCGCGUGUAUGAAGAAGGCCUUCGGGUUGUAAAGUUCUGUCUUUGGGGACGAUAAUGACGGUACCCAAGGAGGAAGCCACGGCUAACUACGU
RNAcentral lists this ribosomal RNA (484 nucleotides) under uncultured Escherichia sp. RNAcentral's name for it is "bacterial SSU rRNA". It matches the Rfam family "Bacterial small subunit ribosomal RNA", at positions 8 to 506 of the family's 1533-position model. Lineage: Bacteria; Pseudomonadati; Pseudomonadota; Gammaproteobacteria; Enterobacterales; Enterobacteriaceae. The record is from RNAcentral.